This 69-nucleotide transfer RNA is filed under the name Rattus norvegicus (Norway rat). It matches the Rfam family "tRNA". From Rfam's summary of the family: Transfer RNA (tRNA) molecules are approximately 80 nucleotides in length. Their secondary structure includes four short double-helical elements and three loops (D, anti-codon, and T loops). The record is from Rfam by way of RNAcentral. Lineage: Eukaryota; Metazoa; Chordata; Mammalia; Rodentia; Muridae.
GGGGAUUUAGCUCAGUGGUAGAGUGCUUGCCUAGCAAGCACAAGGUCCUGGGUUCGGUCCCUAGCUCCA